UACGUUGUCUGCUAUACGCAGGAAG
RNAcentral lists this ribosomal RNA (25 nucleotides) under Trichomonas sp. RNAcentral describes it as "partial 28S ribosomal RNA". The record is from RNAcentral. Lineage: Eukaryota; Parabasalia; Trichomonadida; Trichomonadidae.